GAUGAACGCUGGCGGCGUGCUUAACACAUGCAAGUCGAACGGUGAACUUGGGAGCUUGCUCCCGGGGGAUCAGUGGCGAACGGGUGAGUAACACGUGAGUAACCUGCCCCAGACUCUGGGAUAAGCGUUGGAAACGACGUCUAAUACCGGAUACGAGCUUCAGCCGCAUGGCUAGGAGCUGGAAAGAAUUUCGGUCUGGGAUGGACUCGCGGCCUAUCAGCUAGUUGGUGAGGUAACGGCUCACCAAGGCGACGACGGGUAGCCGGCCUGAGAGGGUGACCGGCCACACUGGGACUGAGACACGGCCCAGACUCCUACGGGAGGCAGCAGUGGGGAAUAUUGCACAAUGGGCGCAAGCCUGAUGCAGCAACGCCGCGUGAGGGACGACGGCCUUCGGGUUGUAAACCUCUUUUAGUAGGGAAGAAGCGAAAGUGACGGUACCUGCAGAAAAAGCACCGGCUAACUACGUGCCAGCAGCCGCGGUAAUACGUAGGGUGCAAGCGUUAUCCGGAAUUAUUGGGCGUAAAGAGCUCGUAGGCGGUUUGUCGCGUCUGCUGUGAAAACCCGAGGCUCAACCUCGGGCCUGCAGUGGGUACGGGCAGACUAGAGUGCGGUAGGGGAGAUUGGAAUUCCUGGUGUAGCGGUGGAAUGCGCAGAUAUCAGGAGGAACACCGAUGGCGAAGGCAGAUCUCUGGGCCGUAACUGACGCUGAGGAGCGAAAGCAUGGGGAGCGAACAGGAUUAGAUACCCUGGUAGUCCAUGCCGUAAACGUUGGGAACUAGAUGUAGGGACCAUUCCACGGUUUCUGUGUCGCAGCUAACGCAUUAAGUUCCCCGCCUGGGGAGUACGGCCGCAAGGCUAAAACUCAAAGGAAUUGACGGGGGCCCGCACAAGCGGCGGAGCAUGCGGAUUAAUUCGAUGCAACGCGAAGAACCUUACCAAGGCUUGACAUAUACCGGAAAAGUUCAGAAAUGUUCUCCCCGCAAGGUCGGUAUACAGGUGGUGCAUGGUUGUCGUCAGCUCGUGUCGUGAGAUGUUGGGUUAAGUCCCGCAACGAGCGCAACCCUCGUUCUAUGUUGCCAGCACGUAAUGGUGGGAACUCAUAGGAGACUGCCGUGGUCAACACGGAGGAAGGUGGGGAUGACGUCAAAUCAUCAUGCCCCUUAUGUCUUGGGCUUCACGCAUGCUACAAUGGCCGAUACAAAGGGCUGCAAUACCGUAAGGUGGAGCGAAUCCCAAAAAGUCGGUCUCAGUUCGGAUUGAGGUCUGCAACUCGACCUCAUGAAGUCGGAGUCGCUAGUAAUCGCAGAUCAGCAACGCUGCGGUGAAUACGUUCCCGGGCCU
RNAcentral lists this ribosomal RNA (1344 nucleotides) under uncultured bacterium. RNAcentral's name for it is "bacterial SSU rRNA". It matches the Rfam family "Bacterial small subunit ribosomal RNA", at positions 28 to 1381 of the family's 1533-position model. The record is from RNAcentral.